AUAUUCAUAAACUAAAGCUUAAUCUUAGGCGUUGCUAAACAAAAUUGAAAAUAUGGAGAAAUUCAUUGUCAUUGUAGAUAUAUCCAACAGGUUCCAAGGUCAAUCCCCCACUUCAUGUGCAAAACAUGUUAAAGGUAAGAACUUUUUAGAGAGUACAAAAUCAUAUUUUCUCAAUCUCAAUUUAUGCGACAGUGCUUGAAUUUCAAGACCUAAAUAAAUUUUACUUUGAUCGCACUUUUUCAAAUAUUUUUUUAAAUAUUUUAAAUUGUUAAUUAUUAUGACUUAUAAUACUUUUUAACAUAAUUUUUUAUAUAAAUUUAAUUUGUUAAAAGUGAGAAAAAUCUAUAUCCGAAUUCAUAACUAAAAUUAAAAAGUUUGACUCUUUGAAAUUAUGCAUAAACAUAAUGUAUUAAUUCAACAGAACUAAGUAUGGGCGUAAGUUUCCUCCUGCUAUUUAUCUAAUAUGUUGUAUUAAAACCUGCAAAACUUUUCUUACUUAUCUUUUCGGAGCUUGGAGGCUAUUCAAUUUAGUUUCACUAAGGCUGAAAGCAGGCCACUUCUAUAAUCACAACAAACAAAAAGCAGAACAGAGAAGUAAAUUACAAAGCUAAGAAAAAAUUGCAUAACAGAGACAAAAAAACAAUGCAGAAUAGUUAAAGAAGUAUAAAAUAGAGGGGGGAAAUGCACAACAGAGACAAAACACAUAGCAGAUGCUUGUAUUAACCAAAUUUUAUCUAAAGGAAUUAAAUUUUAAGCAGUGUCAAGAACUAGUGAGACGACUCAUCCAACAUAUGAAAACCAAAUGCGAGAUCACUAAACCAAUAUUCAAAUUUUCAACAAAAUUGACAUUAAGCAGAGGAAAAGUAUACUAACUUGCAACUUCACAUCUACAACGCAACAUAAAACAUAAAGAGGGAGGUUAUAAGUUAUGGACAAGUACUCACGAAAUAGUACGAGAAAUUAGAAAAACUUAAAGUUAUAUAUCUUCUGUUUGAUAUUUUCAGCCUCCAUGAAAUAAUCAGAUGGCCCAUAAAUUCCUUGUAUCUGAUAAAUUUAAAGGUUAAAACUCAUCACUAGUUUUGCAGAGCCCCAACAUAUUUGGCUUUAUCAAAAGAUCUAGUUUGGAUACAUUCUUUCAAGAAUUUAGAAGCCCCCAUGAAAACAAGUUACAGAGCUUAGGAUGUUAGAAAAUACAAUAAAGCACAAGAGUUUUUGAUCAGGUAACAAUUUCAUUGAUCACAAGGUCAAAGUUGAUUGUAUACAAAAAAUAUAUCAAGGAGUAAACAACAUACAAAAAAGACAUGAUCCUCUACAAAAGACACCCAAAAUCCUCUAAACAAUACUAAAUAAGGAAGCAAAUUUUACUCCUUUAUCACUAUCAAGUCACAUUAGAGCCACUAAAUUUCAUACGAAACCAAAACAAUUAAGCAAGAUGGUCAGGAUCUUGUUAGCAACUACAGAAAUAGACUAUAAUAACAUGAAAAUGAUUUAACUUAUACACUGACAUCAUGCAACUUAGGCAACAAAUAUAUUCAAAGGUGUUUUUGCUCAACUGAUUUUUUAAAGCAAGGUAGACAUGAAUGCUCUUAUAGCAGUCUAAUCCUUUUCAACAAUAAUAAGUUCAAUUCUAAAUGCAUAAUUCUUCAUUCGACUAUGAAAUUUUCAACUACCCAUUCCACACAGUAUUUAAGUCCUCAUUUGAUGUUAUUCAUAAUAUCAAAUCCACCACCUCUAUAAAAAUGACCCAACAACUUUCACAAAAACUCAAAUCUAAAUCUGAAGGAAAUAAAACUACCCAAGGUAAUAAUAUAUGCACAAGUAAAAGACCCAACAAUGGUUAUAUAAAAGAGACUUAUUAAUCUACAAAUAGUAGGUAGGAGCCUUUAUUCAAUAACUCUUGUAUUUUUGUACAUUGAGUAUAUCUCUCUACUACUUGAAUGUAUCUCUCUACUAUAUUGAAUAUAUGUAAUAAAGCACCCCUAUUUAUAAUACUAACAACCAAAGUAAACUAGGACUAACAAAUUAUAAUUAAACAUAAAUAAAGUAAAUAUCAUAAAUAACAAAUCCUAAACUAUUAAGGAAUUCUAAACUACUUAGGAAUCCUACUGUUCGUUUAUUUCCUACAUAGCCUCUCUUAAACCAAGAUCUUCAAAUAUGACCAUGCCUAGCAUCUUCUUCAACUUUAUGAACAACUCCAAUUUUAAUGGCUUUGUGAAAAUAUCAGCAACUUGUUCUUCGGUCUUGCAAUAUUCAAUCAUUAUCUCUUUAUCAUGGACCAAGUCACGAAUGAAGUGUCAUUUGAUGUCAAUGUGUUUGCUAUGACCAUGAAAAACUGGAUUCUUUGUAAACGCAACUGCAGGCUUGCUAUAACAAAAUAUUUUUGUAGGACUAUCUUGCUUGUGUUGAAGAAAUCGAAGCAUCCUUGUCAACCAUAAUGCUUGUGUAGCACUACUUGUUGCAAUCAUAUACUCUGUUUCAGCAGUUCAUAAAGCAACAACUUGUUGUUUCUUUGAAGACCAUGAAAAUACACUAGAUCCCAAAUAAAAUGUAUAGCCAGAAGUACUUUUUCUUUGCAUCAUAUCACUAGCCCAAUCACUAUCAGUUAAUCCAACAAGAUUACUAUCAUUAGUAUUUGAAUAAAAUAUGUCAUCAGAGUGUGUACCUUAAAUAUAUCUCAAAAUUCUCUUGACGGCUUGCAAGUGAGAUUGACACGGAAACUCCAUAAAUCUACUAAUUAAUCCAACUUCAUAAGUAAUAUCAUGCCUUGUAGAAGUCAAGUAUCUUAGACUCCCUACCAAUUUUCUAAAUUAUGUAGCAUCAACAAAAUCGUGUGUGCCAUCUUUGGUCAACUUCAAUCUCUCUUUAGCAGAAUUCAAGAUCAAUUUGACUUUCUUCAUAUUUAAUAUUUUAAAAAUAUCAUCAUCAUUAUUUUUUCUUUUCUUGUAUUCUUGAAUAACCAUUAUUGCCUUAAAAUCAUCUGCUUCUCCAAUUGGUUUGUAGUUGGUCUUGCAUGUCCAUUCGACUUCAGUUGAUCGUGUAUGUGGUAUCACUACAAAAAAAAUCAGCAUUUAGCGACAAAUUCUAGCAACGAACAAAUUUUUAUCGGAAAAAUAACGACGGAUUAGCUGCAAAUUUACAAUUACGUCACUAAAAAAAACUAAAAGUAAAUGAACAUCAUAUGCAGUGAUAGACUAGCGACGAAAUAUCAAAUUUGUUGCCAAAUUUGGUGCCAAUUUUACGUGCCAUAAAUUUAACUACAAAAUUAGCAACAAAUGGAUGGCGAUAUAAUUAUUUAGAAUUUUUAUACGCCAUUUUAAUCGGGUCAAAAUAGUGUAUAACAUUUUGGUGAUUCCUAAAUUAAUUGUCUAAGUAAAGGAGUCGCCACCUAAUUAUUACAGUGAAUUAGGGCACCUAAAAUUAAUUAAAGUCUUUGUCUAAAUUUAACUCCAUUUUAAACAUGAGAAUCUAGGUACAUGUUCAAUUAAUCUAAUGGAAAGGAAUGAGGCAUCCUGUAACACCCCGGAAUUUAGUGAGUUGAACUAGUGGGUUCUAGAGCCUUUUGUAAGAGGUUUGGAGUGUCGUAUGAGGAUUAGAGAUUGUAAAAACGAUUUCCGUACUUAUAAUAGGGGUUUAAGGGUUAGGGCGUCAAGGUACGACCCCCUAAGGACAACCUAAGGGGUCCUUGAGGAGGACCUCAAGACAGCCCAAAAAGCUAUUUUUUGGCAGCAACCUACGCAUGGCCACCUACUGGCCGUAGGUGGACCCACACCUCGUAGGUUGGGGUCGUGGGUUAAGGUUGGGGUGGCCUGCAAGUCCUUAGCCUCAGGUGCAAACCACGAUGGUGCAGCACGAUCCGUCAUCCCAACUACGGUCCGUAGGUGGGGGUUCGUAGGUCCUAGCAGUUUUUGGACUUGAAGUUAUGCCAUAUGUUCCAAUCAUGUAUAGCUUGGCUUAGUAGGAUAAGACCAAGGUUGAUAGCUUGGGAUGGAGGAUCUAUACUCUCGUAAGGGAUAGCUUGACUUAGCAUUGUAGAAUGCAUGUCAUGGUAGCAUGAGUUAGUAGUAGUCAUGGUAGCCUGGGAUUGAGGAUUUACACUCUCCUAUGGGUAGCUUAAACUGGCAUUCACUACAAAAAAAACUUGAUUUAGCGACGGAUUUUAGCUACAAAGAGAUUUCCAUCGCUAAAUAGCGACGGAUUAGCAACCAAAUUUUAAUUAUGUCACUAAUAAGGCAAAAAUAUAUUUGACAUCAAAUUUAGCUACGGAUUAACGACGGAAAUAUAAAUCCGUCACUAAAUUGUGGAGCUAAAUUUUUGCGCUCUCAUGCUAGCUACAAAAAUUAGCAACAAAAAUCAUGCGACAAAACUUAUUAAAUGUUAGCUACGGAAGUAGUGACGGAAUAUCUGUCGCUAGUAUAUUUUAUUAAUUAAAAUAUUUUAAUAUUAGUUUCUAGAAAAAUAAAUUCUACUAUUCUAGGGCACGGUGACUUCAUUUUCUCGCUACUCUCGUUCUCAUCAUAAAAGCCUGAAAUCAUAAACACCAUCGGUGUCUUUUUCGUUGCCACCUCUCCGACAAGUCGCUCCUCUCCAAUGCUUGACCAUCUCUAGCUGCUCAUCCCUUAGUUUAUAGGGUUUUAGAAGUCUUUAUUUUCAUCUCAGGUAAAGUGUAUUUCUUUGCAUUCGAUUAGUUAUUCUUUUAUUCGAGUUUAAUUUUAAUCUCAUCAUCUUUUUUAUUUCUAAUAUCAGAGUUUCGGUAAUGUUCUCUAAGAAUCUUCACUAUUUUUACUUCGUAGAGUUGGAAUUUGGGUAAGAACUCUAUAGCUUAAUCUUCGAUCCGAGCAAAAAAGGUGCAUAAAUACGAUUCUAUUUUUUCAUUUAAGCAAUUUCUCUAUUUAUGGACAUUACAUGCUUCAGCUAACUCAGGUUUUCAUUGUUUCCAUCUAUUUGGCAUUUUUUUGUUUAAUCAAAGUUAAAUUUAUGAAACACCCAAAGAACUUUUCAAAGGAUUUAAAGCAAAUCCGAUCCCCAAAAUUUGAAAUUACAACCUAUUCUUAGUGAUUCUUAUGGUAGUUUCCUUCGAGUUAGUGAUUUUAAUAGUAAUUACUCACUGAGUUCCCUUCGAGUUAGUGAUUCUUAUAGUAAUUACUCACUGAGUUUCCUUCGAGUUGAAAAAGAUUGACUCAUUGUUGCUAUUAUCCAUGUCCUUCUUUAGAGUUGAAAAUGAUCAACUCGGAUAGGCUAAUCUAUCAAUUCACGUCUUCUUAGAAGAACUACAGCUUAUUUGAACUUCAUCCUUCAUCAAGUUGUUAUUCUCCGUCUAUCUAAUCCUCUCAUUGUACUAACCUAAGGGCAAGUAUUUUAGCUUAGAGAAGUGUAUAUUUUGUUCCACACUUUCAAGGAAAGUAUGAAUUACUAUAUUCUUGUAUGUGAUUUUUAUUUGAAGAGGAAGGAAGUUUGAUCGUCCAAGGUUGAACAACAGGAGCUUGUAGUUAUUGAUGAACUGGGAACAAACACCUGCUGUGAAUGAACACUGCACCACCCGAACUUUCUUUUGAAAUUUUAGUAAGUUGCUAAACACCAAUUUCUCUUAGAAUUUUUUGUUGGUUGCGAAAAGAACAAUCUGAACAAAGAAUUAGGGAGUUUUAAUUAGUUUAUUGAACUAGAAAUCAAUUGAUGUUUAUUGUUGUAAUUCAAAGUUAAAAGGGUUGUAUUUUUAAAUAAGCUAAAUUGAGGGUGGACAACUUGUAGCCUUAACAAUAAAAUUUUUGAACCUAUUAGUUAAUGCAGAUUGUUGGUCUACGCAUUAAAAUGAUGAGUAAAAUUAGCUAAUGCAGAUUGUUGACGUGAAAAAGAUGCGUUAACUUUACAUAUUUUCUUUAAACUUUUGGACUUUCUUGGAUUUCUUAAGUAAGCUUAUUGAAUUAUUAUUUAUUCGUUAGAUGGAACAAAUAAGGACCGCGUUUAUUGUUUCUGAUCAUUUACUUAUUAUUUUACAUGCUUCAUAUAUUUUGGGAACUUUGCAUCUCUACCAAGUAUAGUGAGAUAUAAAUUACAAUAUGUCAGCCACUUUUUCCUACUCUUUAACUAUAUGAAAGCAUGGCAGACACAUCUUUGUUUUUAAGAUUCCUUUUGACAUGAUCUAGAUUUCUUGUUAUGUUAACCACUAAGGCUGGUCAAUUACUUUAUCUUACAUUGUUACUCCAAAAGACUACUCAGUGAUUUAUGUUGUUCUUUGUGAUUUUAGGUAAUGCCCCCACUAUGGUGCAGGUUGGAUAGGUUGUGGUUUGGACAUCCUAACAUUCUGUCGGGUUCUUUGGCAAGAUCCCUCAUUGUUUGACUUCUCAGUCGUGUUUGGAGGUAAAUAUUUCAUUUUUAAAGUGAUAAUAUUCAGAUGGCCUUACCCGAUGACAAGAAAAUAGUAACUAAAAGCAAAGAAAUAACUAACAGGAUAAAUUGUUCUGUGUGAAAGCCUAUGAAGUACUUUUACAUUAUUUUUUGUGUAAGAUCACUCUGAGAUGUGAAUGUGGCAUUCCUGAAGUUUUAAUACAUGUGUCUUGAUAAUUCGAAGUUAAAAGUCGAUUUGGUCGUUCUCCUGUUAUUAUAAAGGUCAACCUGGUGCACGAAGUAUGUUGGUGUUCAUUGUGUUUCGAAUGUGAUGAAUAAUUUUCAUGUUCAUUUUUCUUUCAAUAGUAUCAUGGAUCACUUUCAGCACAUCAUAUCUAACAUAAAAUCUUUCAAAAUACCAAAUGUGUAAGGCAUAUUGCUGAAAAUUAUCAUUGAUUUGCUAUAGAUUUAUUUUUGCUAGAGCUUACUGGUGAAAAAUAAGGCAUGGAUACUUGACAUUGGUUGAUGUUCUUUGAUAUUCAUAGCAAACCUGAAGUGCACUUCAUUGAACUCUUCUUUACUAUUUCUUGCACUUAGCUUUGCCAUGAAAAAAUCAAGUGUAUUUGUUUACAAUUUUUUUGAUUUACCAAUUUUAUUUUACCAAGAAACUCAAAGAAGAAUUUUGAGAACUUCUAGUACCUUAUAGAUCACAUGCAUAUCUAGUUGUUGGAUUAAAUAAAUGUACAAAUUAUUUUAAGUUCUCACUUACUUUUAUUUACAGGAUAAAGAGUUCAAUAGUUGCUCUGCUCAAGAAUUGUUAGAGCAACAGUCAUCAUAACAACAAUUAUAGCAGGAUGAGAUAGAUGUUGCAACUUGGAUGUAUUACGAGAUCGUGGAAGAAGUGAUGGAGAGAAGAGUUUAUGACCUUGGGUUUCAAGAGAAACUGGAUUAUGACUAGGAUCCUACUUUUGAUCCAAAUGAACAUCUCUCGAACACCACAUUAGUUAGCUUUGUCCUUAAGGCUCUAUUUAAUUAGUCGAAGAAUUGUUAAUGCUUUAAGAUUUAUGUAUUUUUGGAUCUACUUGUUAAUCAUUACUAUUAUUUCUAAAAAAAUUAGGUUCUUUUCGUGCGUAUUCAAUAUUAGUAUUACUUUUCAUUUAUAUGUUUUACUUGGAUUUUGAAAUUAUUUUGUAGCUAAAUAUAAAAUUAAUAAUAGUAUUUUACAAAUAGCGACGGAAUAGCUACAAAAUUUUUUAGCCAAAAUUUCUUAACGACGAAAUCAAUAACGUAACUAGCGACAAAUAUUUUAUGUAUUAGCUACGGAAACAAUUUGUAGCUAAUAGUAGCGACGAAAUUUACGUCGCUGAUCCGUAGCUAAACGUCGCAACGGAUUUUAAAUAUUCGUCGCUAAAGGCUUAGCUACGAGAAUUUUACCGACGGAUGAUAUUGCGUCGCUAAUCGGUCGCUAACCAGUUAUAACGACGGAUUAUGUUGUUUAGCGACGGAUUUUGUGCGUUGCUAAAACCAGAAUUUUUUGUAGUGAUUGUUAGGAUGCCUUCAUGGUAGCUUGACUUGCAGAGGCAUAUCCAAGAUUUUGAGAUAAUGGGUGCACAAUUAUAAAAAGGUUGAUCUAUGAUAUAAAUUUGAUCGGUUCGACAUUUAGAUUUUUACUAUUGAAAACUGUUAAUUUUUUAAAAUUAUAGGUCUAAAAUUAAUUCUUAUAUAUAUAUACACACACACACACACCAAUUACCACUUAGAGAAGUGUUAUCUAAUUUUAGAAAGAUAAAUAUAAAUUUUAAAUUUCUAACCUCGCGGAGAGAGGUGCACCCAGUCAUAAUCGCAUUAUGUGAUACUUCAAGUGUGGGUUCACACAUCUAUAUUUCAAUAUUUUUUCAAAAAUAUAACACUACAAUAUAUGAUCUCGGGAGGGGACCAUGGGUUCACGUGAAACUGGUGACCCCUCCUUAGAUACACCUCUAUUGACUUGGUUUGGCCAAGAUUUGGGAUAGAGGACUUAUACUCUCCUAAAGGUAGCUUAGGAUUGAGGAUCCAUACUCUUCUAAGGAUAGCUUGACCUUGCAUUGUAAGAUGCAUGUCAAGGAUAGCUUGAAUUAGGUUAGUCAUGGUAGCUUGGGAUUGAGGACUCAUACUCUCCUAAGGAUAGCUUAGGAUUGAGAAUCAUACUCUCCUAAGGAUAGCUUGCAUUGUACUAUGGUAUACUUGUAAGGAUAGCAUGACUUAGUUGGUUUAAGACUAUUUCAUGGUAGCUAGGAUAGGACACUUGUACCUUUCCUAGAGUAGCUUGGACUUGCAUGAUAGUGUGUCUUCCAAGGUAGUUAGCUUAGCUUAACCUAGUUAUAUUAGUAAAAUGAUAGCAUGGUCUAGCCUAUUAGGGGGCUAUUCAUUGGUAGCCUUGAAGAGGUAUAUAGAAUAGAGGGAUUAGUCCCCAAUUAGUGAACAUUCAUGAUAGUUUAAAGGAGUACUUUGUGUGGGUAGUAGUAUGGGAUGCAAUCCAUACAUGGCACAAGUAUGACUUGAGGCUAGUUGUGAAGGGUUCCCUUAUGUAGUAUGACUUAGCUUGGAUUGUUGCCAUAGUUUCCUUCCAAGAUAUGAUUGACUAAGGUGGUAGUUCCCUUGUCUAUAGGAAGUAAGCUAAUAGUAAGACCAAAAGGAGGGUGAGUAUGACUAAUAUGACUUCAAGGCUACGCUUAGUGUGAAGGGUAGUAUGGAUGCCUUUCAUGCAUUGCACAAGUGUGUCUUGAGGUUACUUAGGAGUAUAGUACCCUUAUGGUAAAAAUGACCAAGAGUCUAUUAUGAUUAUAUGAUUAUGAGUUGUCUCCUAUGCUCAUUAACUAUGUCUUAUGUUGACUUAUGUUUAUAUGAGGCUUAUGUUGGAGACCAUGCUAUGAUUAUGAUGAUUAUGUUAUGACUAUGUUAUUAUCUCUUAUGCUUAUGUCUUAUGUUGACUAACCAUUUUGAGAUGCUCUUAUGAUGUUGUGCUAGCUUUCAUACUUGGUACAUUUUGUACUAACGCAUAUUGCCUACAUUCUAAUCAAAUAUUCUAAUCAAAUGUAGGGUUGAGGAGAUUGAGUUGCUUUGAACGCUAGGUUUCCAAGGAUCUAGAAGAGUUGAAGAAUUGGUGAGUCCUCAUAGCUUCGAGGACAAACCCUUAUUUCCUUUAUGUCAUUUCUUUAUGUUUUUAGACUUUGUAUGUGCUGCGUCCCAAGAGUUUUAUUCAAGAGUUAUGUUAGAUGGUUUGAGACAAAGGUUUUAGUAAAGACUUCCGCUUGCUUGUAUGAAAUUUGACUUUGAUUCAUGUAAAUUUUUUAAAUUGUUUCGUAUUUUGUUUCUAUUACCUAUGUUAUGAUGCUAAGGGCUUAUAUGA
This 9709-nucleotide long non-coding RNA is filed under the name Solanum tuberosum (potato). Its description in RNAcentral is "long non-coding RNA (STUB_LNC004958)". The record is from RNAcentral. Lineage: Eukaryota; Viridiplantae; Streptophyta; Magnoliopsida; Solanales; Solanaceae.